CAGCAGCCGCGGGAAUACGAAGGGUGCAAGCGUUACUCGGAAUUACUGGGCGUAAAGCGUGCGUAGGUGGUGGUUUAAGUCCGUUGUGAAAGCCCUGGGCUCAACCUGGGAAUUGCAGUGGAUACUGGGUCACUAGAGUGUGGUAGAGGAUAGUGGAAUUUCCGGUGUAGCAGUGAAAUGCGUAGAGAUCGGAAGGAACAUCUGUGGCGAAGGCGACUAUCUGGGCCAACACUGACACUGAGGCACGAAAGCGUGGGGAGCAAACAGGAUUAGAUACCCGUGUAGUCCCUGUCUCUUAUAC
Molecule: ribosomal RNA, 301 nt
Filed under: uncultured bacterium
Lineage: Bacteria
Description: partial 16S ribosomal RNA
Rfam family: Bacterial small subunit ribosomal RNA
Source: RNAcentral